UCAAAACUGAACCGAAAAUGCAGGACUUGCUUUAAUUGUUUUCUGUCAGUGUUUAUAUAUAUAUUGAUCUAGCACAGUGUAAAUUACAUGAGUUCCAUUAUAGUAAAUAAUACAGAAAGAAAUUGAAGGAAAACAAUUAAAGCAAGUCUUGCAUUUUCGGUUCAGUUUUGA
Molecule: microRNA precursor, 171 nt
Filed under: Paramuricea clavata
Lineage: Eukaryota; Metazoa; Cnidaria; Anthozoa; Malacalcyonacea; Plexauridae
Source: RNAcentral